GUUACCAAACUGUUGCCUCGGCGGGAUCUCUGCCCCGGGUGCGUCGCAGCCCCGGACCAAGGCGCCCGCCGGAGGACCAACCAAAACUCUUAUUGUAUACCCCCUCGCGGGUUUUUUACUAUCUGAGCCAUCUCGGCGCCCCUCGUGGGCGUUUCGAAAAUGAAUCAAAACUUUCAACAACGGAUCUCUUGGUUCUGGCAUCGAUGAAGAACGCAGCGAAAUGCGAUAAGUAAUGUGAAUUGCAGAAUUCAGUGAAUCAUCGAAUCUUUGAACGCACAUUGCGCCCGCCAGUAUUCUGGCGGGCAUGCCUGUCCGAGCGUCAUUUCAACCCUCGAACCCCUCCGGGGGGUCGGCGUUGGGGAUCGGCCCUUUACGGGGCCGGCCCCGAAAUACAGUGGCGGUCUCGCCGCAGCCUCUCCUGCGCAGUAGUUUGCACACUCGCAUCGGGAGCGCGGCGCGUCCACAGCCGUUAAACACCCCAAACUUCUGAAAUGUUGACCUCGGAUCAGGUAGGAAUACCCGCUGAACUUAAGCAUAUCAAUAAGCGGAGGAA
Molecule: ribosomal RNA, 553 nt
Filed under: Trichoderma virens
Lineage: Eukaryota; Fungi; Ascomycota; Sordariomycetes; Hypocreales; Hypocreaceae
Description: eukaryotic LSU rRNA
Rfam family: 5.8S ribosomal RNA (bases 169-322)
Source: RNAcentral